This is a long non-coding RNA of Pseudopipra pipra, 1149 nucleotides long. RefSeq lists it as uncharacterized. NCBI's taxonomy places the organism in Eukaryota, Metazoa, Chordata, Aves, Passeriformes, Pipridae. The transcript has 3 exons. The record is from RefSeq and is a predicted model, not a curated record.
GUCAUAGAGGAUGCUGAGUUGGAAGGGACCCAGUAGGAUCAUCAAGUCCAAUUCCUGGACUCCACAAAAUAACUUAGUGGAAGUUUUCUGUUGGGUUUUCAGACUUGUACUCGCUGGCAAGAUGUUAAUUGUGUCACUGAGGCUCCUGCACCCAGCAAAGGUUUCUGAUUUAUCUGAUGUUUGCAGCAACAAUAAGGGUGGAAGUCUGGGAGACAAAAGAUGUGUAUCAGAGCCUCUCAAGGAGGGAGUUUUUUUGAAAGCUUUUUUUCCGGGGGCUGUUCAGGAUUCACCUGGUAACACCAGGUGUUACCAAACCCAUUCAGAGCUUAGAUGGACAUGGAACAUCACUGGGUCAGUUCUGCAGCUAAAGAUCAGGUUUCUGGGGACUUGUAGAUUUUGGAUGCUGUGGAAUGGCCUCUUAGAUAUACAAACAACAGAGCAAACCCACCCCCAAACCUGAACAAAAUGUUCACAGAUCAGAAAGGAAAAUAAGUGCACUACCAAUGGAGUCUGGAGGUGGCUGAUUUGUUGGGUUUUAAGUGAUAUGGAAUUCAUGCCUGGCACCUGAAGGCUCUGUGAUUUCAAGCAGGUUUUGCUUUGAGACUGAAACCAAAAUUGAAAGUAAAAUAUUUGGAUCAAGAAGUGAAAUAUUUCAAAAAAGACUAAAGGAAAUGUCUGUGUAACACUCAGCAAGAGACCCCCACCUGGCUUUUUGCUCAGCCCCCCUGCUCAGCCUCAUGUAGAGCCCAAAAUUAAAGACUGGGUUAAAUAACACCCUGAAAUAAUGCUACAAGUUCACCAUGGGACUGGUAAAAUGUGCUGCUGUUCUGCAUAAUAAAAGACUUGUCUUUAAUGCAAAGGCAGAUUUCAGCUCCAUUCCCUGAUAUAAAUAGGGCAGCUCAGAGUCAGAGUGAAUACAGAAAUUGUUUUCUUAUAUGCAAAUGAGAGAUCACAUUAUUUCAUAGGAGGAACUGUAAUAGUUGGGAAAUGUUUCCAGAUCCUUGUUAAAGGGGAAAAAAUAAAAGACUCAUCUAAUGUUCCUGGAUAAAAAUGACAUUAAUUGAAAGUUUGAUUCUAUUCCCUAAUGAGUUUUCCUGUUGCAUUGUAAUUAAUAAUUUCUUAGAUCCAGGAGAACUGAGUAUCCCUUCA